GGGGAUUUAGCUCAGUGGCAGAGCACUUGCCUAGCAAGCACAAGGCCCUGGGUUCAGUCCCCAGCUCCG
Non-coding RNA from Rattus norvegicus (Norway rat), 69 nucleotides. The record is from Rfam. Lineage: Eukaryota; Metazoa; Chordata; Mammalia; Rodentia; Muridae.